Molecule: ribosomal RNA, 253 nt
Filed under: uncultured bacterium
Lineage: Bacteria
Description: partial 16S ribosomal RNA
Rfam family: Bacterial small subunit ribosomal RNA
Source: RNAcentral
UACGGAGGGUGCAAGCGUUAUCCGGAUUCACUGGGUUUAAAGGGUGCGUAGGUGGGCUAGUAAGUCCGUGGUGAAAUCCCCGAGCUUAACUCGGGAACUGCCGUGGAUACUAUUAGUCUUGAAUAUCGUGGAGGUAAGCGGAAUAUGUCAUGUAGCGGUGAAAUGCUUAGAUAUGACAUAGAACACCGAUAGCGGAGGCAGCUUACUACGCGAUUAUUGACACUGAGGCACGAAAGCGUGGGGAUUAAACAGG